Molecule: ribosomal RNA, 530 nt
Filed under: uncultured fungus
Lineage: Eukaryota; Fungi
Description: partial 18S ribosomal RNA
Rfam family: 5.8S ribosomal RNA (bases 188-341)
Source: RNAcentral
UCCGUAGGUGAACCUGCGGAAGGAUCAUUACAGAAAUAGGAGAAGGUUGCUUAACUGCAAUCCUUUUCUUUCUACACAUGUGUUUUUCUUUUUUUUGAAAACUUUGCUUUGGUGGGCCCACGGCCUGCCAGAGAUUAAACUCAACCAAAUUUUUAUUUAAUUGUCAACUUGAUUAACUAAUAGUCAAAACUUUCAACAACGAAUCUCUUGGUUCUCGCAUCGAUGAAGAACGCAGCGAAAUGCGAUAAGUAAUAUGAAUUGCAGAUAUUCGUGAAUCAUCGAAUCUUUGAACGCACAUUGUGCUCUUUGGUAUUCCAAAGGGCAUGCCUGUUUGAGCGUCAUUUCUCCCUCAAACCUUCGGGUUUGGUGUUGAGCGAUACGCUGGGUUUGCUUGAAAGAAAGGCGGAGUAUAAACUAAUGGAUAGGUUUUUUUUUCCACUCAUUGGUACAAACUCCAAACAUUCUUCCAAAUUCGACCUCAAAUCAGGUAGGACUACCCGCUGAACUUAAGCAUAUCAAUAAGCGGAGGA